AUCUUGUCUUCUAUGUCAGAUACUGUAUGUGUGUGUAUACAGUAUAUUAUUUAUACAGUACAGUAUCUGACAUAGAAGACCGGACACAAGCCAGAUGAGCCCAACCUAUACUAUGGGCACCACCUAUUUACCGGGCGUUCAAAGUUCCAGUUUAUCUGAGCCCAGUUUUAUGAUAUAAAGACUUUAGAGACGAUGUCUGAUGUUGUGAGAAGUGUGGGAUCAAGUAGAGGAUUCUUCUUGCACAGGAUGCACUCUUGGUGUUUGCUGUGCGGUCCCUUUGUCCGCAGUGCGGUGUUACCUUCCUCAGUUUUCUGUCAGGGUCUUUGCUGUGUCCUCUGCAGCCUCUUAGGUGAAAGUGUUGCUCUUUCAGGGUCAAGAGGGUUGGUGCUGAACUUCUGUUCUUGAAGAGAUGGCUCCUUCUCAGACCAGGCUCCAUCACUGGUGAAAAGCUUGCUUUGGAAAAGUGGAUCUUGGAGUUAGUUCAGGGUGUCCGAUGGAGAGCAGCUUUCAGAUCAAACAAAGUGUGUAAGUUCUUUGCUGCACAGACAGUGGGUGGCUCACCUCUCAAAGAGAACAGACCCCCUGCUUUCAGUUCGCUCUCGGAGAGAGAAGGUCAGUGCAGCUGGUUUUGUAGGUGUAACCUCUGGCGAUUGGAACAGGAGAUCCGGUGUCUCAUUUUGUGCAUCACAUCCAGCCACAGUUAAGUUAGCAGUUGCAAGCCUAAUCGGGGGUCUUGUUGUUUGAAGGAAUCUCUGCAGAGGGGUCAGCUGAACUCUGAUUGCCACCUCUGUUAUCACUGAACACAAUGUUGGCAGAGCUGCAGUUCAGACGGUUGGACUUGCAGAUGAAUUUCUGUAUCCCCGUUAAAUCUGCUCUUCUAACAGGCCUCAAACUGUCCUACAGAAUCCAUGCAUUGUGACAAAUAUGCAAAAAUGGAGGAUAUCCGGAAUGGGGGCAAAUACUUAUUCACAGCACUGUCAAUGGGAAAAAAAAGUUUUUUUUGUGAGGAUUAGCUGAGGAACUGCAGUGUCCACCUUCAACACAAAGAUGUUGUGCGCCACUCUAUGUUUUACACUGCCAUACUUUUUAUUUCACAUAAAUGGUCGGAUUUGCCCUUGCAGCGCCAGCUCCUGAACUUCAGGCACCGUGACCCUCCCCUUGUGGCUCCUCGUGACCAUCUCACGAGUCCUGAAUGUGACCCGUGCAGCAGUCGUCAUGUUUAUCGUGUCCUUCAUCCCGCUUUGUAUUGCUGUUUUGCACUUUCUUGUAUUACACCAGUUCAUCAUUAGAGGAGUUGCCUGCGUAAGCUUUAUUCUGCCUUAUUUUACACGCCUAACUUGACAAUUUUCAUUUAUGUUGGCUGGAACAGCUCCUCUUCUGGGACUUCAAAAAAAAAAAACAAGCAAACACUUCAGACAUAAUUACAGGCGAAACAUUCAUUUGUGAUGUCGUCAGCACUGGGGGCACUCUGCUCAGAUUUGAAGUCCCCGAGGGCCCCCGUGAGCAGCCGUCACCAACGACGUGGGUUAACCGAUCAGAACUCGAUGAUUGAGUCUUCUCUGUUUUUGUGCUGCGUCUGAACAUCUCGAGGAGAAAAGGAGUUGAACUACAGACACGUUAGAAAGUGACUGACAGGUGUGGGACAGUCACCGGUCAGGUGUUCAGAUCACUCGGUGGGUGACCCCGAGCACGUCACACUAACUGGCCCAUAUAUAUAAGAUGGAGACUAAAGCAAAAUCAGAAAUAUGCUAUUUAAAAAAGAAAGAAAAUGCUGUUAAAUGCAACAAUAACCAAGGCGCCUGUCUGUUUGUCCAUCUGUCUGUUUUCAGCAUUUCACCUUUCACGGCGGAGUGUUGGGAGAGCGGGAGCAAUGGCAUCAGGACAGUAGCCAUCAUGAAAUGGGCACCAGCCAUUUGUGAAAGAAGGAGAAAACACACUGAUGGAGGCCGGGCAAGGGAGGCAGCUUGAGGCCACAGUGCUGAUCACCAUGUGGUGGGCAGGGCCACACCAAGCGGAGCAGAGCAGAGCAGAGCAGGAGAAGGUGUCUGAUUAAAACAAGGAUUCAAAACUGACCUACAGGAAAGGAAAUCCACAAUCGUAGGACGACGACUGAACCAAAUGAUGCAUCUGCUGUUCUGAAAGGUACGGAAUUGAAAAGACAAAGUGAGAAUGGAGCCGUCGCCCCGCCUCGUACCCUGUCCGCACCUGCUCUCGGUGGCCUGACGCAUCUCUGUCUCGUCACUUGUCCCGGUCACACUACCCUUCAAGGCCACAGCUGCGAUUCUCGGGCUUUGCUGACUCGAGGCAACGCAAUUCAUCAACAGCAACACAAAGCACAAGUGGAGCUCAGUCCUGAGAGGUAAAAAUUUAUUGAUUUCUACUAGAUCAGCAUGUUAUGAUAUGGUUACAUCUGUUCAUACUGUGUAUAUAAUUGUCUUUUUUUUUUAAUAGUAAGAGGACUCAUUUUUUUAAAAAAUAAACUUUAUCUUCUAGAAGGUACAGUUCUGAAAAAAAAAAAAGAAAAAAAAAAGCAAACAGAAAUAACAAAGUCAUCAAUCACAAUGAACAAACAAAUGGCAAAUCGCUAAAGAUGCCAGGCUGGUCAGCGUGGGACCUGAAA
Molecule: long non-coding RNA, 2620 nt
Organism: Polypterus senegalus (gray bichir)
Lineage: Eukaryota; Metazoa; Chordata; Cladistia; Polypteriformes; Polypteridae
Exons: 2
Source: RefSeq, a predicted model, not a curated record